RNAcentral lists this ribosomal RNA (1594 nucleotides) under Chelus fimbriata (Mata Mata). RNAcentral describes it as "16S ribosomal RNA". It matches the Rfam family "Bacterial large subunit ribosomal RNA", at positions 410 to 2925 of the family's 2925-position model. Lineage: Eukaryota; Metazoa; Chordata; Testudines; Chelidae. The record is from RNAcentral.
GCCACUAUCUAGCCCAACAAACUACCAACCCCACCACAAUAAACUAGACCCACACAUAAAUAACUGAAAACAUUCAAUACAUUUAGUAUGUGAGACAGAAAAACUAUAAUGGAGCUAUAAAGACAGUACCGCAAGGGAAAAUUGAAAAACAUGAAACUUAAACCCUAGCAAAAUAAAGCAAAGACAAAACCUUGUACCUUUUGCAUAAUGAUUUAACCAGUAAAUAUCAAGCAAAGAGAACUAAAGUAUGAAACCCCGAAACCAAAUGAGCUACUUACCGGCAACCAUAAGACAUAAGGGUUACUAACCGUCUCUGUGGCAAAAGAGUGGAAAGACCAGUAAGUAGAGGUUAAAAGCCUACCGAACUUGGUGAUAGCUGGUUGCUCAGAAAAAGAAUAAAAGUUCUACCUUAAACCCCCUACAAACAACAUAAAGUUACCAGUGAGAUUUAAGAGAUAUUCAGUAGAGGUACAGCUCUACUGAAAAGGACACAACCACAUACUGGAGGUCAAAAACAGCAACCAAUUCCGUAGGCCUUAAAGCAGCCACCAAAAAUUAAAGCGUUAUAGCUAAACCAUAACAAAUAACACAACUAAAAUUUUAACCCCUAAACAAACUGAGCUACUCUACACACAUAGAAGAAUUAAUGUUAAAAUUAGUAAUAAGAAACUAAAUUUCUCUAAAGCACCAGCUUAAAUCAGUCCAGACAAACUACUGAUUGUUAACAGUCACAUAUAAAACUAAAAAAAUAAACAAAUCAUAAAGACUAAACUGUUAACCCAACACAGGGGUGCAUAUUAGAAAGAUUAAAACCUGUAAAAGGAACUAGGCAAACAAAGAACCCGACUGUUUACCAAAAACAUAGCCCCUAGCACAACAAGUAUUAGGGGUGAUGCCUGCCCAGUGACACAGUUCAACGGCCGCGGUAUCCUGACCGUGCGAAGGUAGCAUAAUCGCUCGUCUUUUAAAUAAAGACUGGAAUGAAUGGCUAAACGAGGAUCUAUCUGUCUCUUAUAGGUAAUCAAUGAAAUUGAUCUACUCGUGCAAAAGCGAGAAUGAUAACAUAAGACGAGAAGACCCUGUGGAACUUAAAAUAACAGUUAAAGGAUGUAAAUUAUAUAAUCCAACAGGAAUACCAACUACAACCUAUUUAACCCUAUUUUUGGUUGGGGUGACCUCGGAGAAAAGAAAAACCUCCGAAAACUUAAUGCCAAGAACAACGGACCAAAGCACCAUAGGUGUAAACGAUCCAAUAUAUUUGAUCAAUGAACAAAGCUACCCCAGGGAUAACAGCGCAAUCCCCUCUUAGAGUCCCUAUCAACGAUGGGGGUUUACGACCUCGAUGUUGGAUCAGGACAUCCUAAUGGUGCAGCCGCUAUUAAGGGUUCGUUUGUUCAACGAUUAACAGUCCUACGUGAUCUGAGUUCAGACCGGAGCAAUCCAGGUCGGUUUCUAUCUAUGAUUGUAGAUUUUUCAGUACGAAAGGAUAAAAAAAAUACAGCCAAUAUUUUUAAACAUGCUGUACUUCACAUUAAUGAACAUAAACUAAACUGUACACAAAGACAAAAUUUUUAAAUUACCCAAGAAAAGGGCC